UGAGAUAUUGCGGGAGAGCGUUUUGCUGUCUCACUGGACAGAAAAGCCGCCGAAGGAGCAACCGCCCCGGAAACUCUCAGGCCCCUGGACCGCGAUAAUCUC
This 102-nucleotide non-coding RNA is filed under the name Sphingorhabdus sp. 109. RNAcentral describes it as "Glycine". It matches the Rfam family "Glycine riboswitch aptamer". Rfam says of the family: This family represents the bacterial glycine riboswitch. Lineage: Bacteria; Pseudomonadati; Pseudomonadota; Alphaproteobacteria; Sphingomonadales; Sphingorhabdaceae. The record is from RNAcentral.